GAUGAACGCUGGCGGCGUGCUUAACACAUGCAAGUCGAACGAACCUUCGGGUUAGUGGCGGACGGGUGAGUAACGCGUGAGAAUCUGCCCUCAGGAGGGGGAUAACGGCUGGAAACGGCCGCUAAUACCCCAUAUGCCGAGAGGUGAAAUGAAUUUCGCCUGAGGAUGAGCUCGCGUCUGAUUAGCUAGUUGGUGGGGUAAAGGCCUACCAAGGCUUCGAUCAGUAGCUGGUCUGAGAGGAUGAUCAGCCACACUGGGACUGAGACACGGCCCAGACUCCUACGGGAGGCAGCAGUGGGGAAUUUUCCGCAAUGGGCGAAAGCCUGACGGAGCAACGCCGCGUGAGGGAUGAAGGCCUCUGGGCUGUAAACCUCUUUUAUCAAGGAAGAAGAUCUGACGGUACUUGAUGAAUAAGCCACGGCUAAUUCCGUGCCAGCCGCCGCGGUAA
RNAcentral lists this ribosomal RNA (448 nucleotides) under uncultured bacterium. RNAcentral's name for it is "partial 16S ribosomal RNA". It matches the Rfam family "Bacterial small subunit ribosomal RNA", at positions 28 to 523 of the family's 1533-position model. The record is from RNAcentral.